Molecule: ribosomal RNA, 484 nt
Filed under: uncultured bacterium
Lineage: Bacteria
Description: partial 16S ribosomal RNA
Rfam family: Bacterial small subunit ribosomal RNA
Source: RNAcentral
AUUGAACGCUGGCGGAAUGCUUUACACAUGCAAGUCGAACGGCAGCACGGGGGCAGCCCUGGUGGCGAGUGGCGAACGGGUGAGUAAUACAUCGGAACGUGCCCGGUCGUGGGGGAUAACGUAGCGAAAGUUACGCUAAUACCGCAUACGAUCUGAGGAUGAAAGCGGGGGACCUUCGGGCCUCGCGCGAUCGGAGCGGCCGAUGUCAGAUUAGGUAGUUGGUGGGGUAAAGGCCUACCAAGCCGACGAUCUGUAGCUGGUCUGAGAGGACGACCAGCCACACUGGAACUGAGACACGGCCCAGACUCCUACGGGAGGCAGCAGUGGGGAAUUUUGGACAAUGGGCGCAAGCCUGAUCCAGCCAUUCCGCGUGCAGGACGAAGGCCUUCGGGUUGUAAACUGCUUUUGUACGGAAAGAAAAGGCUCUGGCUAAUACCUGGGGCUCAUGACGGUACCGUAAGAAUAAGCACCGGCUAACUACGUG